CUGGAAACGUUCAGUCAGAGUAGGAGGACUAGGAAGAUCUCAAAGUGGAUGGCUCAGAAGGGUAAUUGCAUAGAUGGAGGAAAGGGCUGUAAAAAUCUUGAAUGGCAGCCAAAUAUAGUUCAAGAAUUGGAUGACUUUGAAGAUGAUAGUGAAUCCUUCCUCGAGUACAAAAGAACUGUGACAGGAAGCUGGAACACAACAUGGGGUUGGGUCCCCUGGGCUGUCUUCUCUAAUCCCUGCCAUCUUCAAUUCCACCUGCUGUGUUGGCUCUUUACUUUGAUGGAUCCUCACUCAAGCAUCCCUGAAGAUCAUUUUCCUACUGAUUGGAUGUCCCUUGGCCAUCUUCCCAUUUUCAGAAGAGAAAGUAGGAGUGGAUACCACACAUGAACUUGGCUUAAAAGGGACUACAAUGUCCCCUGCACUUUCAGGCACAAAUGGGAUGAAAAACUUGCAAAAAUCAACCAAACCAAACCAAACCAAACAACACACCAUUCAGACAGCUAUGUCCAUUUACUCUGGAGAAAUAGAGCUGUCUGAGUAUCCUCCCCUGUUUUUAGAGCUCUACUUUCUCCUGUGAUCAGGGCCAACCAGAAGGAAAUGAAGCCAGCUUAAAGGUUUAUCAAUGACAGAUGAAGAGACAAUGUGGUCUAAUGAGAAUGGUACUGGUGGGUUUUUUAAUCUGUUGAGUGUUAACUCAUUUUCCCGGUGCUUAUAACUGACAUAAUCAUGCUGCCCUUUGAAUUUCCACUUACCUGAUGGAGUAUCUUCUGGUAUUCUCUCACCUAUGGCUGGCAGCACUUCUGUAGUUUCUGGAAAGCUUCUCAUCAAAGUGUAGGACUGAAUGAAAAAUGUCAGAAACUUUAAGGUGGGAAUAGCUGUUAUGAUAAGGGUUGCCAUAACAUUGGCUGGGCAGAAAUAUGCUUUCUGUAGCACACAUCUGUGUGUGUGGUGACUAUAACAUAUCUGGGAAAGGUACUGCUAUGCACGGGCUGCAUAGUAAGACAUCUGUAAGGCUUUCUGGGUUCAUGUGGCAUGCAUAGGUCAUCUGCACAGCAUGCACCCAACACAUCUGACAGGGCUUGAAAUCCUCAGCACAUGUGUAGUAGGGACUUCUAGAUAAAUGGCCUGAAUCCUUGAAUUCCAAAUGCAAAUUAAUUUAAUUUUAGGUAGCAAAUAGGACACAUUAGGAAAAUUUAAACAUGUGGUAACCUCACUUGCACUUAUCUGAUCUGAACUCUAGAAUCUAGGCCAAUCAAUCAGAACCACCAGCUCUUUCUUGUAUCCUAACUCCUAUUUGACCUACAGUGUAUCUUCUAAGAGGAGUAUCUUGUCUAGAUCUGAAUAGAUGGAGAGUACAUCAUCAAUAUGUAAGUUGUUCCAAUGAUUAUUCUUGUUAGAAAUAUUUCUAUAAAUAUUUAUGUUCAUACAAAAAUAUCUGCUGCAUUAAAUCUUGCCAUAAGUAUCUUUUGGCAUUGGUUACUACUAGCUGAGCUUACCUGUGGUAGCAAGUGACACACAAAACACUUUCUGACUGUACUGAAGGAUGUUACCAGCAUUAUUAGCCUUAGGACACUUGGAAGUACUGUCCUGUAUAAUGCUUAAAGCAGCUAAUACAAGCCUCAACAUAAAGUUAAGACUUCUCAUAGGGAUGCCUGUAUGGUCUGCCCUUGCACCCAUGUGCUCUCGCGGGGGCUCUCUCCAGCUAUGGGGCGCAGCGUGGCGAUGCAGAGCAGGGCACCAAUGUCUCCAGCCAGAGGGCCGUAAAGUUGAGGACCUGCCUGCAGGGAGGGUGAGCUUGUUACCCACAUGGCCUGGGAGCGGGUGUGCAUGUUGAUCUGUGUGAGAUUAGGGCGUUUGGGAAUUAUAGAAGGGUGUUAAGAAAUUUGUAGGUUUUUACUAACAUUCCGUGUAUAGCGCUGUGGUUUAUCUCCUUGAGUUGCUGAUGCUGAUUCUGAAUGUAUAGCUCACUGAUUGCUGAUUGAUUCCUGUCAUUAAUAAAUCAAUAAACUUCUUUGAUUGCAUCUGA
Molecule: long non-coding RNA, 2026 nt
Organism: Dromaius novaehollandiae (emu)
Lineage: Eukaryota; Metazoa; Chordata; Aves; Casuariiformes; Dromaiidae
Exons: 2
Source: RefSeq, a predicted model, not a curated record